UUAGGAAUUUUGGGCAAUGGGCGCAAGCCUGACCCAGCAACGCCGCGUGGGUGACGAAGGCCUUCGGGUUGUAAAGCCCUUCUUGAGGGGAAGAUGAUGACGGUACCCUCCGCAGAAGCGCCGGCUAACUACGUGCCAGCAGCCGCGGUAAUACGUAGGGUGCGAGCGUUGUCCGGAAUUAUUGGGCGUAAAGAGCUUGUAGGCGGUUUGUCGCGUCUGCUGUGAAAUUUCGGGGCUCAACCCCGAACUUGCAGUGGGUACGGGCAGACUAGAGUGUGGUAGGGGAGACUGGAAUUCCUGGUGUAGCGGUGAAAUGCGCAGAUAUCAGGAGGAACACCGAUGGCGAAGGCAGGUCUCUGGGACGGUACUGACGCUGAGACGCGAAAGCGUGGGGAGCGAAC
This 401-nucleotide ribosomal RNA is filed under the name uncultured bacterium. Its description in RNAcentral is "bacterial SSU rRNA". It matches the Rfam family "Bacterial small subunit ribosomal RNA", at positions 355 to 773 of the family's 1533-position model. The record is from RNAcentral.